ACGAAGGGGGCAAGCGUUGUUCGGAUUUAUUGGGCGUAAAGGGCGUCUAGGUGGUUUGCUAAGUUAGAUGUGAAAGCCUCCAGCUCAACUGGAGAAUUGCAUCUAAAACUGACAGACUUGAGUUCAGGAGAAGGGAGUGGAAUUCUCAGUGUAGCGGUGAAAUGCGUAGAUAUUGAGAAGAACACCGGUGGCGAAGGCGGCUCUCUAGCCUGCGACUGACACUGAAGCGCGAAAGCCAGGGGAGCAAACGG
RNAcentral lists this ribosomal RNA (251 nucleotides) under uncultured prokaryote. RNAcentral's name for it is "partial 16S rRNA". It matches the Rfam family "Bacterial small subunit ribosomal RNA", at positions 525 to 775 of the family's 1533-position model. The record is from RNAcentral.